Molecule: ribosomal RNA, 327 nt
Filed under: Pheidole nesiota
Lineage: Eukaryota; Metazoa; Arthropoda; Insecta; Hymenoptera; Formicidae
Description: partial small subunit ribosomal RNA
Source: RNAcentral
UUAUAGAAAAAAUUUAAUUAAUAAAAAAUUAAAUGUAAAUCAUUAAAUUUAAAUAAUUUGGCGGUAUUUUAAAUAGUUAGAGGAAUUUGUUAGUUAAAUGAUACUCCACGAAUGGAAUGUCCUAAGAUAGUUUUUAUGUAUUGUUGUAUAAAAAUUAUUUUAUAAGAAUUUAUAAUUAAUAUAUUAGAUUUAAUUUGAAUUCAAAUCAAAAUGUAGAAUUAUUAGGAUUUAAUGAAUUACAGUUUAAUAAAAAUAAUAGAGUUAUUUUUUUAAUAAAAUAAUGAAAUCGGAUUUAAAAGUAAGUUUAAAAAAAUAUUUAAAUUGAAA